This is a long non-coding RNA of Asterias rubens (European starfish), 567 nucleotides long. RefSeq lists it as uncharacterized. The transcript has 3 exons. The record is from RefSeq and is a predicted model, not a curated record. NCBI's taxonomy places the organism in Eukaryota, Metazoa, Echinodermata, Asteroidea, Forcipulatida, Asteriidae.
ACGUUAAUUGUAAUUUUUGUACAUGUUUUUGGGGGACCAAUUUUCAAAUCAUCACAUCUGGACAAAGUCAUCAUUUAGUAAGCCCUGUUAUAUAAGUCCAUUCAACCAUGGAGGAAGAAUUUUGGAACUAACUUGGCCUAACUUAGUGAUGCACUUAUAGAAUGAUUCUUGUAGCAAGAAAUCAUCUGAUUGGCCCAUGGAAGACCUUUGAGGGAGUGUCUUAUGGUUUGAGGUUGCAAGUUUCCAGCUGAAGAAGGACGCACCACGGAUGCUGGACAAAGCGUGGAAGGCGACCAGGAGAUGUUCCCGAGAUGGCGACGGCUGAAGACAACCUCUUGCUCAACUACUACUUACAUACAGGUGAUUGUGAUGACUACUUUUCUGCCAUCCUGUCACCAUGGACCAUGAAGAUGUGACAUCACAACACAAAGAGAGAUACGUCAUGGCUUGAAGAGAUAGACAUCAAGUAUUUCUACACCUACUUAUCAGGAUCCUUGAAGGAUGAACAGAGUGGAACAACUAAGAGUUGGUUACGUCAAGAUGCUGAGCCACAUUAUACAGCACCAA